CAAACGCAAACGCGAACCCAAACCCAAACCCACUCUCGUUCAUCAAUGGAGUUUUGGGGUGUCGAGGUGAAAAAUGGGGAGAUUCUGCCCGUUAUGUCUUGUGCGGGCAUGAUUUUGCGUCUGUCUCAAGCUUCUCUUGGUAAGUUGAAAGAGGAGAAAGGAAAUGAAUCUAUUUGCUUGUUUGCAACUGUUGAUGGAAAGAAGCUAGUCCUUGCAACACUGUAUACUACAAAACUGCCUCAGCAACAUCUAGGCAUGGUUUUCGAUAGAGAUUUCGAGCUAUCGCAUGACUGGGAAAAUGGAAGUGUUUACUUCUAUGGAUAUAGGAUUAAUAACCCUCUAAGAGAAGAAACCAAAUCUGAUGAAUCUGAAUCUGAAGAGGCUAUCCCAUAUACUGUUGCAAGUGAUGAGGUGAAACCCAAGGAUAAUAAUUCUCUCUCAACUUCUAUUCCUCUGUCUUCUCGCAACACGGAUGUUGAAAGGAUAAUACUGUCCGAGGAACAUUAUGCACUGUUUGAAGUGAACAUCUCAGAGCUUAUUAAUAACCCGUCAUCAUACUUCAAUUUUCGCCAGCGCUUGUUUGAGGUGAGCGGAGGAAAAAUCACGGAAGAAGGUCUACAAUUGAUGGCGGCUAGUCAAAGGCACCAAUUAUGUGUGAUUCUUGGUACCACAAAUACUUGGAACGAGGAUACCCCAACUAUUUACUCUGCCAUCCAGGUGUACAUUGAAGGAAGGAUCGCUGGCGUGCCUUAUGUAAAUGAUGGACUGCCCGAUUAUUAUUUGGAAUCUACUUAUGAUGCUAAUUGGCGAGUAAAUCCUUUCCUUGUUGGUGCUAAUAUUCUGAAUAUAUACACAUUGUUGGGGGAAGCAUAUGAUUGUAUUGCAGUAAAACUUUUGUCAAGAUAUUACAAUGGAGAUGCAGCUGAGGACGUUCUCCAAGUGGUUCCGCAGUUAGAGAGCCAUAUUUUAAAUCAGCUUCAGAGACGACAUUGGAAAGAGAUGCACUACCUUGGUGUCAUAAUUGAAAUGGAUCUUGUGCUAUUUGAUAGAUGGGUUUCAUAUGGUUUUUCAAUGUUAUCUUUUCCUAAAAAUAAGGAUGGUACCAAAGCCUGUGCAAUGAUUAAGCUGCUUAAAGAUAAUAUAUAUUUUAUCAAGGGCAAGCAAAGUGGGCACUUUUAUAUGGAGGGCGAGCGCUUAUUGUUCAACUUGUCCAGCACUAGGUUUGUAGAUCCUUGUUUCGCGUUGAGAAUACUGGACAAUAAUGCAUUUACUCCUCUAGCUGGUCCUGUUCUCUCUGGAUGGCACAACCCAUUAGACUGUGAAAGUGAGAUAGUGGAAGUCCUUAAUUAUAUUAUACGUGGAUGUGGGCGAGAGGAAUGGUAGAAAAAAAUCCCUUGUGGGCAGAAGCUAAAGAAGAAAAUGAUAGACUAAAAUAUUUAAAGAAAACUCUUGCAGGUGGCAGGUAAGCCUAUCUUUCUUUGCUUUAAUAGGACUCUACUAGUGUAGAAACAAUUAUCUAAAAACAAUCAAGUUAUUAGUUAUGUGAGAAAAUGAAUUUUGCCCACUACUCUUGACCUUCUAAGUAAUGUCUUUCAAAGUUUUUUAAAUAUACCGUGCACUCCUCAGAAGUGUUUCCAAAUUUCCCUCUUCCUUUUUGACAUAUUUUGAACCAUAAUUGCAUUUGUGUCAAACUUGGAUAAAGAUUUCCUUGAAUAAUACUCUAUUGUUCAAGGAAUAGUCUUGCAUAAUUGGCAUCCCUCGUGUACGAAUGUGUGCUUUUGUUUACAGCUCUGUGCACUUAAUCAACAAUACUUCUUUUUGUCAUUUGAGUAUCUGAAAAAGAUAGCUAUGAAUUGAUCUAAUUUCUCCAUUGUUGAGCCCAUCAUAUUUUUAACUUGUAAGAGGUUGAACGUUAAUGUUAAUUGACAAUUACUUCUAACGAUCUUUUCUUGUAAUAGGCUGCAUUGCAAUAUAUGCCAACAAUUGCCCGCUUAUACUUUCAAAGAUGGCUUCCUAUUUCGCUUUCCUCAAAUCAGAAAUUAGCUUUGCUGUAUCUUGGUUUGCAGGGAUAUUCUUUUGAGAGAUUUCGGGAAAUCAUAAAUAUUUCAGAAGAAGAAUUGGAUCUAUCACUACAAAAGAUACUCGAGGAAGGAUAUGAUUAUUUGUUACAGAAGAACCUAAGGAGGCAGGAGCAAUUUGCUGAGAAACACAGAAGCAUGCUAUUCUAACAUUUGGAAAUUGGUCAUGUUCAUUGGAAAUGGGCU
Olea europaea var. sylvestris is the source of this 2264-nucleotide RNA transcript. RefSeq lists it as uncharacterized. NCBI's taxonomy places the organism in Eukaryota, Viridiplantae, Streptophyta, Magnoliopsida, Lamiales, Oleaceae. The record is from RefSeq and is a predicted model, not a curated record. The transcript has 18 exons.